This 253-nucleotide ribosomal RNA is filed under the name uncultured bacterium. RNAcentral's name for it is "partial 16S ribosomal RNA". It matches the Rfam family "Bacterial small subunit ribosomal RNA", at positions 524 to 776 of the family's 1533-position model. The record is from RNAcentral.
UACGUAGGGGGCUAGCGUUGUCCGGAUUUAUUGGGCGUAAAGAGCGUGUAGGCGGCCAGGUAGGUCUGCUGUGAAAACUCGAGGCUCAACCUCGAGACGUCGGCGGAAACCAUCUGGCUAGAGUCCGGAAGAGGAGAGUGGAAUUCCUGGUGUAGCGGUGAAAUGCGCAGAUAUCAGGAAGAACACCCGUGGCGAAAGCGGCUCUCUGGGACGGUACUGACGCUGAGACGCGAAAGCGUGGGGAGCGAACAGG